RNAcentral lists this transfer RNA (84 nucleotides) under Candidatus Aenigmatarchaeota archaeon. RNAcentral's name for it is "tRNA-Leu". It matches the Rfam family "tRNA". From Rfam's summary of the family: Transfer RNA (tRNA) molecules are approximately 80 nucleotides in length. Their secondary structure includes four short double-helical elements and three loops (D, anti-codon, and T loops). Lineage: Archaea; Nanobdellati; Candidatus Aenigmatarchaeota. The record is from RNAcentral.
GCGGGGGUUUCCGAGCGGUCAAAGGGGCACGGCUUAGGACCGUGUGGCUUAGUGCCUUCGCAGGUUCGAAUCCUGCCUCCCGCA